UACGUAGGUGGCAAGCGUUGUCCGGAUUUACUGGGCGUAAAGAGCGCGCAGGCGGUCGUCCAAGUCGCGUGUGAAAGCCCCCGGCUCAACUGGGGAGGGUCACGCGAUACUGGUCGACUCGAAGGCAGGAGAGGGUAGUGGAAUUCCCGGUGUAGUGGUGAAAUGCGUAGAUAUCGGGAAGAACACCGGUGGCGAAAGCGGCUUCCUGGACCAGCACCGACGUUCAGGCACGAAAGCGUGGGGAGCAAACAGG
This 253-nucleotide ribosomal RNA is filed under the name uncultured bacterium. Its description in RNAcentral is "partial 16S ribosomal RNA". It matches the Rfam family "Bacterial small subunit ribosomal RNA", at positions 524 to 776 of the family's 1533-position model. The record is from RNAcentral.